AUUCCUACGGGAGGCAGCAGUGAGGAAUAUUGGUCAAUGGCCGGGAGGCUGAACCAGCCAAGCCGCGUGAAGGACGACGGUGCCAUGCAUUGUAAACUUCUUUUGUCAAGGGACAAAAUCAGGCUCGUGAGCCGGACCGCGGGUACUUGAAGAAAAAGCAUCGGCUAACUCCGUGCCAGCAGCCGCGGUAAUACGGAGGAUGCGAGCGUUAUCCGGAUUUAUUGGGUUUAAAGGGUGCGUAGGCGGACUGUUAAGUCAGCGGUAAAA
This 267-nucleotide ribosomal RNA is filed under the name uncultured bacterium. RNAcentral describes it as "partial 16S ribosomal RNA". It matches the Rfam family "Bacterial small subunit ribosomal RNA", at positions 335 to 599 of the family's 1533-position model. The record is from RNAcentral.